Molecule: ribosomal RNA, 857 nt
Filed under: uncultured fungus
Lineage: Eukaryota; Fungi
Description: SSU rRNA
Rfam family: Eukaryotic small subunit ribosomal RNA
Source: RNAcentral
GUAGUCAUAUGCUUGUCUCAGAGAUUAAGCCAUGCAUGUCUAAGUAUAAGCAAUCAUACUGUGAAACUGCGAAUGGCUCAUUAAAUCAGUUAUCGUUUAUUUGAUAGUACCUUUACCUGGAUAACCGUGGUAAUUCUAGAGCUAAUACAUGCUAAAAAUCCCGACUUCGGAAGGGAUGUAUUUAUUAGAUAAAAAACCAAUGCCCUCCGGGGCUCCUUGGUGAUUCAUAAUAACUCAACGAAUCGCAUGGCCUUGCGCCGGCGAUGGUUCAUUCAAAUUUCUGCCCUAUCAACUUUCGAUGGUAGGAUUGUGGCCUACCAUGGUCUCAACGGGUAACGGGGAAUUAGGGUUCUAUUCCGGAGGGGGAGCCUGAGAAACGGCUACCACAUCCAAGGAAGGCAGCAGGCGCGCAAAUUACCCAAUCCCAAUACGGGGAGGUAGUGACAAUAAAUACUGAUACAGGGCUCUUUUGGGUCUUGUAAUUGGAAUGAGUACAAUCUAAAUCCCUUAACGAGGAACAAUUGGAGGGCAAGUCUGGUGCCAGCAGCCGCGGUAAUUCCAGCUCCAAUAGCGUAUAUUAAAGUUGUUGCCGUUAAAAAGCUCGUAGUUGAAACUUGGGCCUGGCUGGCCGGUCCGCCUCACCGCGUGCACUGGUCCGGCCGGGCCUUUCCUUCUGGGGAGCCGCAUGCCCUUCAUUGGGUGUGCCGGGGAACCAGGACUUUUACUUUGAAAAAAUUAGAGUGUUCAAAGCAGGCCUAUGCUCGAAUACAUUAGCAUGGAAUAAUAGAAUAGGACGUGUGGUUCUAUUUUGUUGGUUUCUAGGACCGCCGUAAUGAUUAAUAGGGAUAGUUGGGUAU